ACCUACUGUGAUACAUAUGAAUGAAUAUAUUUUCAAAUAAGUGAAAAUGCUGCUGACAUGGCUACCUCUUCCCAUGAUUGGUCCAGAUAGAUGACUCACUUUUCAGAGUGGCAGCUUCAUAAGGCAACCCAUACAUAAUGAGAUGUGAAAAAGACUUUUCUUCCUGCCUCUGAAUGUGGUGAGAGAUUGGGCAAAGCCUGCUUUAUUGAUCAGUAUCCGUGCUUUCCAUCAAGGAAAUCAUACUCCUUCCAUAGUUUCAUGUCAACUUCCACCAGAAACAUGCCAUAGGACUGUGAUGGAGAACCUAGACAUGCCUAGAGAGAACAACUAGUUCUAUGGAACUCUCUUCCCAGUGAAGUUAAAUGCCCCCCUCCCUCCUGACCUUCAGGAAAAAACUAAAAACAUGGCUUUGGGACCAAGUCUUUGGUCAGUAAAUGGGAGCAGUGCAAUAAGAGACUAUAAAUAACACAAUGACGACUUGGAUCGGUCCUGGAAUAUGACCUGGAUUGUGUGAUUUUUAAUUGAUGUUUUCAUGUUUAUGUUUUUAAUUGGUUUGGAUUUUAAUGGAGUUUUAAUGGAGUUGUUGAUAUGUAUAUGUGGCAUCGAAUAGUUGCCUUUGUAAAGCCACCCUGAGUUCCCUGUGGGGUGAGAAAUACGGGGUACAAGUUUCGUAAAUAAAUAAAUAGGUCCUCCAGCAUUACUCUGGGCCUUUCCACACAGCCCUAUAUUGCAGAAUAUCAAGUCAGAAAACCCCACAAUAUCUGCUUUGAACUGGAUUAUCUGAGUCCACACUGUCAUGGGGAACAUAGAAAAUGCCAAGUGAGAACAUCUUUUGGGGGAUGAGGAUAAGUGAAGUAAUAGGUACUGGCCCCAAAUAUGCAAGAAUCAUACAGUAUUGUACAUGCUCCUGUAAAGGACUCAGAUCCAUGUGUCAUUAUCUAUCUAUAUAUAUAAAAGGGUAAUGGAAUCACAGCCUAGGACUAAACAACAAAACUACAAGUUCCAGAACCACGAAACUUGGCAACACAACCCACCAUCCUUGCCCCUAGGUUCCGACAACAAAAGAAAAGAAAAAUAAAGUCCUAAUUAGAGGGAGAGGAAUAAUUGUUUUUAUCCAAUUGCUACCAGUUAGAAGGCUAAGCUCUGCCUACUUGGUCUCCUAGCAACCCAUUCAGCUCAGGGCCUCUUCAAUCAGGCCUCUUCCACACUGCCUAUAAAAUACAGAUUAUCUGAUUUGAACUGGAUUAUAUGGCAGUGUAGACUCAAGGCCCUUCUACACAGCUAUAUAACCCAUUUAGAAUCUUAUAUUCUGCUUUGAACUGGAUUAUCUUGAGUCCACACUGCAUAUAAUCCACUUCAGUGUGCAUUUUAUACAGCUGUGAAGGGGCCUCAUAUAAUCCAGUUCUAAGCAGAUAAUAUAAGAUUAUCAAUAUACACUAGAGUCUCACUUAUCCAACAUACACAGGCCGGCAGAACAUUGGAUAAGUGAAUAUGUUAGAUAAUAAGAAGGGAUUCAGGACAAGCCUAUUAAUCAUCAAAUUAGGUAAUCGUUAUACAAAUUAAGCACCAAAAAAUCAUGUUAUACAACAAAAUUGACAGAAAAAGUAGUUCCAUGCACAGUAAUGCUAUGUAGUAAUUGCUGUAUUUACAAAUUUACCACCAAAAUAUCACAAUGAAUUUAAAACAUUGACUACAAAAACAUUGACUACUAAAAGGCACACUGCGUUGGAUAAUCCAGAACACUGGAUAAGCGAAUGCUGGAUAAGUGAGAUUCUACUGUAAUAUGAAAUAAUUACUGUGGUAGAAUAAUACAGAACAAUAUAAUCUCUAAAACCAGGGCAGUAAAUAAAGAGCAACACUCUGAAAGCAGGGAAAUUGGGAAUUCCACAAAGGAAACAAUCAGGGCCAGCUAACACCUCCCAAGAAAGGAUUCUUCCAGAAAGGAAGCUGAGAAGGGAGUGAAGCAGUGUGUAUUACCAAAGUCAUUAUUAUUACUAUCAUUACUAUUAUUAUUCGCAUUAUUAUUAUUGUUGUUGUUGUUGUUGCUGUUGUUGUGUUGCUGUGAACCAUGAAAAUGAAUACAAUCUGGCUCCAAGUAUUCAAAAACACUAAAAUCAGAAUAUGUAAAAUUACCGUGGUAUAAUAAAACAGAACAAUACCAUCUCUAAAAUCAGAACACUAAAUAAAGAACAACACUCUGAAAACAGGGGAAUUCAACACAGGAAACAAUCAGGGGCAGCUAACACCUCCCAACAAAGUAUUCCCAUCACCAAAGUCUGGCAAAUCCUCUGUUUUCUGAGGGCCACAGACUUUUUUUUUUUGGAUUCUUUAUGCCUAUAGGAUGGAUCAUUUAGAAACUUGUAUACUUCAUUUACAAAAUAUUUGUAAAUUGUCUCCACAGGUAUGCCUACACGUACAGCUGUUUUUCUGUUGCUCUGCAAGAAGCAUCUGUAGAGACUACUGGGGUUCUUUGUGAGAUAUCUGCAAAUGAUGUUCUUGCUAUACAUCCAGCUACAGGAAAGUGGUUGGAUGCAUCCACACUCAAUCUUUCUAUUCCCCUAUAACAUUUGAGAGGUGGGGGCAUAUUGUUUACAAUAUGAGUUUGAGGGGAUUGGGGCUGUUGCAUAAUCAGAACAGAAUUCCAGUCUAUGCACUUACCAUAAAAGUGGAGUAGCAUGAGUUUGAAUUAUACCAUCAUGCCACCUGUAGACUGAGGUGCCAUAUAUAUACACAAAGGAAAUCCAGGUAUGCCUCUUCUAAUAUUGAGGGGGCUCACAGGUAUUCUGUGUCUCCUUGGUUACAGUAAUGGAUUAUGGGCAAUAAGUCAAGACGCAGCUCAGCAACACAUUAGUGCUAUUAGUAUUUGCUGUAUUCCAUAAGGUGUUGCAUUCACCCUACUGGGGUGGAUUCAUAGUUUUGGAGGAGCCAUUGAUCCAGAUUGCCACUGGAAAUUCAGGUAGCCCCAGUAGAUUAAAGUGACCUAUAAAUAAGAUUGAUAAACUAGUUGUGACCCUACCAGAAUUGUGAAUACAGUACAGAUAUGUGUGCAUACAUACAUAAGGAUAACUAAUCACUCAACUAGCCAGACUUUGUAUAUGUCACUGAAAAAAGUGUUGGUGACAAUAGCUGGCAUCCUAUUGAUCAGUCUUAAUUAGAUAAUACUGAUUAACUCAACUGUUGAACUGUAGGUCAAUAGUUAAGUAGAUCACAUUGUUUCAAUGGAUCUAGUCUGGUCAGGAGUAACAAUAAGAUUCAGGUCAACAUCUUAAAAGAGUAAAUUUGCAAAGUGAUUAGAUAGCAAACAAGAGCGGGGUUGGGUAUGGGAUGUAUCCUUGAAGUAAAAAAUAUCCCAUAAUAAUAUAAGUAUCAAUGGGUUCUUAGCUUUUCAUUCUAAAUAACUUCUUGUGACCUGAAAAGUACAGUCAUUGUUACUUCUUCCCUACCUUCUUCCUGGAGGAAAAAAAAAUAUCCUGCCUGAAAAUUAUAUUUAAGAAGAAUGACUAAAAUGAAGCACUGAAUCCAUCCAUAUUUGAGCAGCAACAGGAUGAUGCUCUGAAGCAAAGAGCAUCAACCUAUUGCUGCUCAAUUUUGGAUGGAUGCAGAAUUUCAAUGUAUUCAUCCUUCUUAAAAGUAACUUUCUCAACUCUGUUCCAGACAGAUAAAUGUUAACUCACAACCUAUGGCAUCCACAUGGACUGGCAGCCAUCCAACUUAUGCACCUGCACCAUUACAGCCUGGCUUUCCCAAAUACUUUCCCUUUCUAACAGCUUGCUCUCUUUGGAGGGCAGCUGGUUGCUGCAAGUUCGCCUAGUUGGUUUCAUUUUCUUUUAUUCUCUCUCUCUCUUUGUUUCUUUUCUUUGUGCCUUUACACUUUCCUUUUUGUUCCCAAGUUCUCUCUCUCUCUUCUUUCUUUGGUGUCAAACACUUUAAGGCAGGCAUAAUUUCAUUUUCCCCAACUGUUGUUUUGGCGAGCUUAUUGGAGCUAAUCAUAUAUGUCCCUCGAGAGGCGCUGUGAGACUGGCCCACACUGAAGCAAAAUAGUUCCAGCAAAGAUAGUGCCGAAAGAGAGCGGCAGCCACCUGCUUUGCCUGAAGGGCAAUGUAAGAUUCUGCUCAAGAAAAGGCAGAACGAACAGCUGCUUUCUGCUCAGGCCAUUCUGACAGUUCCCAUUGUACCAAUAAAACAUAAAGCUAUCAAUUCCUAAAUAAGACCAGGCAGAAUUUUACCAUUUUCCAUCUCUGUCUCCAUCCUACCCACCCCCAGCCCCCCACUCUCAGCUGCAAAUUGUUCCACAUCAAUACACAGUCAGGUGUGUUUACAUACAAUUCAUUUGCAUUAAUACACAGGAUCCACUAAGACAAACAAAGGAAAUGAAUGCCAGCUUGAAUCCUGUCUUCUCCAAAGUGACUGCACUCAUUGGGAGACAAUAUUCCAAAUGGUAUGAAAUGGAAAAGGAAAAUUAUGCUGGUAUACAUCAACAGAACUCACCUCAUCAAAAAAACUAUCAAAUGACUCAAUUUUCCUACUAUUCCAUAUUUUUCCAAUUCUGCCCAACUCUCCUCAAGCUAGAAGCUUUCACAUUGAAGAAACAGUAUCUGAAGUGUUGGGAAGAUGUAGAUUGAAGCUGUCUUUGUUCUCAGUCUUGAGAACUGUUGUUAUUAAUUGUCAUUAGGCUGAAAUCAGUGUAUGGUGACCCUAUGAAUGAGAGACUUCUGUUCCCUGUUCAGAUCUUGAAUAUUCAGGACCAUGGCUUCCUUGACUGAGUCUAUCCAUCAAGAAUGUGGUCUUUCUUCUUGCUGCCUUCUACCUUGCCAAACAGUAUUAUCCUUUCUAGUGAGUGAAGUCUUCUCAGUUUAGUCAUCUUAGUUACUAGGGAAGGAUCAGGCUUGAUUUGCUCUAUAACUCAUGCAUUUGCCUUUUUAGCAGUCCACAGUAUCAGCAGGCCAGCACCAGAUUUCAAAUUAUUUGAUUUUCCUCCUAUCAACUUUCUUCAAUGUGCAACUUUCAUAACAAUGCUAAUAUUGUGAGAUAAACUAAAAAAAAAAAACUGUAGGGAUGAAUUCAACUAGAAUUACAAGGGCAGCAGGAAGGUUGCUGAACUACAGACAGGCCCCAAGUCAUGAAUAAUACAACAGUAGAUCCAAACUGCCGACUGCCGGUUACAUCAUGAUAUAACUUCGCUGCCACCAAUCUAAUUGCAUUGGUCUACAACCACACCGUUCACUCUUCCCUGUCCCACUGGCCCUCCGACCACCAGAGUUAGUUCACAGAGCCACUCAAAAAUGAAGGGAAACUCUGACUCAAAGAGUGAAGGCUAUUAUGCAGACAGGCCUCCUUUCUGUGCACAGAAAGACACACUGAAUUCUUGUGGUGAAGUAUAAACAGAUUUGUGAAGUUUAUUUGAACUAAAACAAGAAGGUUGCUUAGAUAUUAGGAGAGAUUUAGACAUGUAAUGGUUUCAGAAGAUUAUCAAGCUGUUUCCUUAAAAGAGAAUGGUUCCUUAACUUAUCUUCCACAGAACUAUGUUCACUCACAGGAGAAUUAAUCGGGCUUUUCAAAACCCUUCAGUCUUCCCUUCCAGAGGCUCCUAAUAUCAGCCCUCUGUCCCUUAGAGGCUCUCUAAAAAUGCAGCACUUCUCCCCCGAAGGCUAUCUUUAAUUCCCCUCUCACAGAGGUUUUUUUCUCCGAGCUCCAAACACUUCCUUUUUCCUCCUCAGCCUCCUCUCUCCGAAUUCCCUCUCUCCCCCUGGCGCCCUCUACCUUCUGUAGCUAGACAACACUCUCCAACUCCCCCACCAAUCAGGCACCACUACCAUAUAAGGAGCGGGCUGUUCCCUCCUCCUUUAGCUUGGAAUGGGCCUUUUCUCCCAGGGCCUAGAACUUUUCCUACACAACUGGCCUGACAAGAUGUUUUGGACAAUAACUUCUAGCAUUCCUGAUUAUCAGCCAUGCUUUCUGAAGACUAAAUGAAGUUGCAUCUGGAAGACACUACACUGAAGAUGCAGAAGUUCUUCAAUCAGACACCUUCUGCUGGAUGAAGGAAAAUGUAGCUGUUUGCACAUAUUCACUGAAUAUUAGAGGAGGUGCUCCAUCAUCCAUUCAUCACUUUAAUUAUAUCUCACCUUGGGACCCAAGAUCACUUACAAAGAGGCAGAGAAAAAAAAAUAUAAAGUGCAUAUAGUUAAAACUUGCAAAAUUAAUAUUAAAACAUAUCAAAUAAUAACGGAAUUAAAAUCAAUUAAAACAUUAUCUUAAGACAGGUUAAAAACAGUAUAGCAAUGUAAUCCAUAAGAAGAUCUUAACAUGCAGAGGGAAAUAAAACAAAGACAUGCUAAUUUCUUUAUGGAUGGAGUUCCAAAGUGUGGGAGCAGCCAUAGAGAAGGUCUUCUCCUGUGUUCCAACCACUGUGUCCAUGAAGACAGUGGGGCAGAGAAAAAUUGCUUUGUUGUAAUUCUUAAAGCUCUGAGAGGCUUGUAUUGGAUGGGAUGGUCCUUCAAACAAUCUGUUUUUGACAAUGGCAGAAAGGAGCAUCUGGGCUUAGGGCUGAAUCCAAGAGUGGACCUGCAUUGUUGUGGGAAAUGUAACCUCAUCCAACACAGGCUGAAUUCCUGUGUUGUCAUUCAAGACUGGCUGGGAACACCUCUUUCUGGAUUAAACUUCAAUUUCUUCACCCUCAUCUGGUCCAUUAAAGCUGCCAAGCACAGGCAUAGCAGGGAAACAGCUCCUUGGAAUUAGGUAGAAAAAGUUAUAGAGCUAUGUGUCAUUUGCAUAUUGGUGGCAUCUGAUCCCAAAAUAACCUCUACCAGGGGCUUCCGUAUAGGAGGGUGACAAAACUGAGCUCUGUGGAAUGCUAAAGGCCAUCAGCCAAAGAGUAGAGCCGGAUGGCCAUUUGGGUUUGCCUCUCCUGAAAGGAACAGAACCCCUGCAAAACAGUGCCUCCAGGGGUGCAUCCAUACAGAUUCAGGGAAUUUAAGAUAGCAACAUGCUUUGGCAGAGAUGUUGUAAAAGCUAAAAGUACCAUCAUUCUAUAGCAUUGAGCCAUGCCAGUAACAGUCGUGUCAAAGUAUAUUAACUCUACAGUGAUGCACCCCAAGUCCCAGAAAGAUACUAUGGUUGGUGGUAUCAAAUGCAACUGAGACCCAACAUCCUUUAUCUUGUGAAAAUUUGGGUUUUAAAAAGAAAAAUGCUGGUAAGUGGUAUAUCCUACAUUCAGAGAAAACUUCCUGUGCCAAGGAAAAGGAAAAGUUAGUCAUUGGAUCAUUU
This is a long non-coding RNA of Anolis carolinensis (green anole), 7263 nucleotides long. RefSeq lists it as uncharacterized. The record is from RefSeq and is a predicted model, not a curated record. The transcript has 3 exons. NCBI's taxonomy places the organism in Eukaryota, Metazoa, Chordata, Lepidosauria, Squamata, Anolidae.